Molecule: ribosomal RNA, 510 nt
Filed under: Nemesia manderstjernae
Lineage: Eukaryota; Metazoa; Arthropoda; Arachnida; Araneae; Nemesiidae
Description: partial 16S ribosomal RNA
Rfam family: Bacterial large subunit ribosomal RNA
Source: RNAcentral
UUAGUAAAGCCUGCUCAAUGUAAAAAUAAAUAGCCGCAGAAUCUUCUGUGCUAAGGUAGCAUAAUAAUUUGCCUUUUAAUUAAAGGCUAGCAUGAAAGGUAUCACAUAUUGACAACUUUAUUAACUCAACAACUCGAACUUGCCAUUUUAGUAAAAAGGCUAAAAUCAAUAAAGUAGACGACAAGACCCUGACAAACUUUACAUCAUCGUUUUACUGGGGGGGUAAAAAAACUAAAUCUUUUUAUUUUAAAAUAACAGAAAAAUUCUAUUUGUUAUCCAAGUUACUGCAGGGAUAACAGCAUAAUUUUUUUUCAAAGACCUUAUUUAAAAAAAAGUUUGUGACCUCGAUGUUGAAUUAGAAUUCUAUAAAAAGCAAAAUUUUUAUAAGUAAGUCUGUUCGACUUUUAAUAUUCUACAUGAUUUGAGUUCAGACCGGCGCAAGCCAGGUCGGUUUCUAUCUCUUUUUAGAACUUUUUAGUACGAAAGGACCAAAAUUUUUAUUAUAUAUUC